UGAGCGGAGAUAUAUGGAGCUUGCUUUAUAUAACUUAGCAGCGAACGGGUGAGUAACACGUAGAUAAUCUAUCCUAUACUGGGGGAUAGCCCGAUGAAAGUUGGAUUAAUACCGCAUAUAGCUAUAUAGUUGCAUGAUUAUGUAGUGAAAGAUUUAUUGGUAUAGGAGGAGUCUGCGGCACAUUAGCUAGUAGGUGAGGUAAAGGCUUACCUAGGCGACGAUGUGUAGCCGGUCUGAGAGGAUGAACGGCCACAAUGGAACUGAGACACGGUCCAUACUCCUACGGGAGGCAGCAGUGGGGAAUAUUGCACAAUGGGGGAAACCCUGAUGCAGCAACGCCGCGUGAGUGAAGAAGGUUUUCGGAUUGUAAAGCUCUGUUAGCAGGGAAGAGGAAGGACGGUACCUGCAGAGGAAGCCACGGCUAACUACGUGCCAGCAGCCGCGGUAAUACGUAGGUGGCAAGCGUUGUUCGGAAUAACUGGGCGUAAAGGAUGCGUAGGCGGUUAAACAAGUUAUAUGUUAAAUAUAUAGGCUUAACUUGUAGAAAGCAUAUAAAACUGUUUAACUAGAGUGCAGGAGAGGUAAGUGGAAUUCCUAGUGUAGCGGUGAAAUGCGUAGAGAUUAGGAAGAACACCAGUGGCGAAGGCGACUUACUGGACUGUAACUGACGCUGAGGCAUGAGAGCAUGGGGAGCAAACAGGAUUAGAUACCCUGGUAGUCCAUGCUGUAAACGAUGGGUACUAGGUGUGGGUUGUGAAUAACAAUUCGUGCCGUC
RNAcentral lists this ribosomal RNA (775 nucleotides) under uncultured bacterium. RNAcentral describes it as "bacterial SSU rRNA". It matches the Rfam family "Bacterial small subunit ribosomal RNA", at positions 63 to 850 of the family's 1533-position model. The record is from RNAcentral.